Molecule: long non-coding RNA, 987 nt
Organism: Megalobrama amblycephala (Wuchang bream)
Lineage: Eukaryota; Metazoa; Chordata; Actinopteri; Cypriniformes; Xenocyprididae
Exons: 2
Source: RefSeq, a predicted model, not a curated record
ACUACUGUUGGGAAGGAACGGCCAAUCAGAGCACGGGUUACUGCGUGCGUCAAUAACUUUCAGUUCCGGUUGAACUGAUCGCACAAAGUACCCACCUAGGUCUCGUCAGAAUGCGGACUGAAUUGAACUUUGCUUGGUUGAGGAUGAUAUGUGUUCAAGUUGUGCGUUAAUGACAACAUAAAAUUCAACAUUGGACAUCGGGGAACUGCAGGAAUAGCAGCAUCAUCUACAUCUGCUGUUAGAGAUCCUCACCAGCAGGAGCCGCUAACGGCUGUUAACGAAGACCCAAACAACAGCUAGAGAAUCAUUCAUUCACAAAAAUGGAUUUACAGAAAUAGAGCAAGUUGUAAGUGUAUGUGUGACUAUCAGGGCCAGAAUAUGUGGAAAAGCUGAUGAAGACACACAAGCUGUGUUUACGUUUAAUUCAAUGUCUUCAUGAUUACUUUCCAUGUAGGCUUAUAGAAUAGAAUAUGUAAACUGCUUUCUCUACCACGAACGAGAUUAUAACGCUUUUCCCACCCAAUGCUGAUAUUGAUCAAAUAUUACAUUCGAGGAAGCCAUAAAUUGGUCUUGUUUUUUUUUUAUUUUUAGUUUCCUUAGCUUUAUAUCUAUGUGAUGCAGUAUUUGGGUUUCCCUCAUACAUCACAGCUAAUCCAGAAUUCCCCCGCUGUGGGGACAUAGUAAAACGAUUAACAGACUAAUGGAUUAUUUACCACAGAGAUAUUUGUCACAGUUCCCGUCACUCCCAGACUCCAUCUCCCAUGAUCCUCCCUGGUCCACACCUGCACUCACUUCCUCAUCACCCUUCUGAUCACGGAUUCCCUGCACCUGCACCUGAUCUUCAGCACUCUCUUUAUAUGGACUCUCACUUCCUGCCCUCCUUUGUCUUUUCUUGUUGUUUGCCUAUUCUCGUGUAGAAUGUUUGUUUAAUGGUGUAGUUCUUCUGUUCAAAUGUUAUGUUAGAAGAAUAAACCUAUUGCUGCUGUU